This 110-nucleotide ribosomal RNA is filed under the name Palleronia abyssalis. The record is from RNAcentral. Lineage: Bacteria; Pseudomonadati; Pseudomonadota; Alphaproteobacteria; Rhodobacterales; Roseobacteraceae.
UGGUGGUCAUAGCACGAGCAAAACACCCGGCUCCAUUCCGAACCCGGUCGUUAAGUGCCGUAGCGCCGAUGGUACUGCGUCCUAAGACGUGGGAGAGUAGGUCGCCGCCA